Long non-coding RNA from Monodelphis domestica (gray short-tailed opossum), 584 nucleotides. RefSeq lists it as uncharacterized. Lineage: Eukaryota; Metazoa; Chordata; Mammalia; Didelphimorphia; Didelphidae. The record is from RefSeq and is a predicted model, not a curated record.
AACAGUUGGAGGCAAGAGUCAACGGCUUGACUGGAUUUUAAGGUCUUUGGGCUUUCAGCCUCUUCCACACCAAUCAGCUUCGACUACAGCUCAAAAUUCCCGAGCUCAGGUGAUCUCUUGGCCCAUACCUCUCCAGUAGUAGGCACUAUAGUUCACUUGAUCUAGACCAUCCUUGGUGAUUUGUUGAAAGAAAAGAUCUCAAAAUGUCACUGAAAAGGUACAGACUGACAUCUGACAUUAAGUGGGACUUAAAAGGAUUAUCUAACUCUAAGUCAGAGGGAACCCUGGAAAGAGACAAUGCUCUUGGUGAUCAAAAAAAGAUUUUUAAAAAGAGGAAGGCUGUGCAGCUUGCAUCUACAUACUCUAGAAAAACCUGGAAGUUCACAACAAACAAACACAGGUAUCCCAUAUUUUAGGGGUUAGAUGCUCCAUGCCCCCGCAGUCUGGAAAAUCCACAUAAAAUUUUUGGACCUUCCCUUCAUACCAGAGAAGAAGUCUACAUUUUUUUCUUUUUCUUUCUUGGGGUGAUUAGAGUACCUUAUGAUAAAAUGUGGGUUAUUUCGCAUAAACUAUAUGUAACACUA